AUGGAUAGGAACCCGCAAAUUCUUUGUUGGAACAUGAGGGGGCUGAACAAUCCAGAAAAAAGAAGCGCAGUUAGGGAUUUCGUUAUGUCGGCGAAGGUGAACCUUGUGUGUUUACAAGAGACCAAGAUUGUUGUAUUCGACCCGUUUAAUGUAAUGCAAUGUAUUGGGGCAUCUUUUGAUGGCUUUGACUACGUCCCGGCGACCGAUACGUGA
RNAcentral lists this ribosomal RNA (213 nucleotides) under Triticum aestivum (bread wheat). Its description in RNAcentral is "partial small subunit ribosomal RNA". The record is from RNAcentral. Lineage: Eukaryota; Viridiplantae; Streptophyta; Magnoliopsida; Poales; Poaceae.